UACAGAGGGUGCGAGCGUUAAUCGGAAUUACUGGGCGUAAAGCGCACGUAGGUGGCGACGUAAGCCGGGUGUGAAAGCCCCGGGCUCAACCUGGGAAUUGCAUUCGAGACUGCAUUGCUGGAGUACGGAAGAGGAGGGCGGAAUUCCCGGUGUAGCUGUGAAAUGCGUAGAUAUCGGGAGGAACAUCAGUGGCGAAGGCGGCCCUCUGGUCCAGUACUGACACUCAAGUGCUAAAGCGUGGGGAGCAAACAGG
Molecule: ribosomal RNA, 253 nt
Filed under: uncultured bacterium
Lineage: Bacteria
Description: partial 16S ribosomal RNA
Rfam family: Bacterial small subunit ribosomal RNA
Source: RNAcentral